Molecule: transfer RNA, 68 nt
Filed under: Strombidium rassoulzadegani
Lineage: Eukaryota; Ciliophora; Spirotrichea; Strombidiidae
Rfam family: tRNA
About the family: Transfer RNA (tRNA) molecules are approximately 80 nucleotides in length. Their secondary structure includes four short double-helical elements and three loops (D, anti-codon, and T loops).
Source: RNAcentral
CGCUAUAGCUCAGUUGGCAGAGCACCCGCUUAGUAAGCGGAAGGUCGUGGGUUCGAAUCCCACUGGUG